UGAGAAACUUCCUCAAUUUUUGGAGGCUGACGGACACUCAGAAAGUGAUUUAAAUGUAAACAACUUGUUCAAUGCUUUAUUUUACAAUUGAGGAAGUGUGUUAGUGGUAACUAAUGGGAGCUGGGCGCAGUGGCUCACGCCUGUAAUCCAAGUAUUUUGGGAGGCUGAGGUGGGAGGAUCACUUGAGCUGGAGAGAUUGAGGCUGCAGUGAGCCGUGAUUGUGCCACUGAGCUCCAGCCUGGGCGACAAAGUGAGACUCUGUCUACAAAAACAAACAAAACAAAACCCUAGUGCGAAUGUCUCUCCAGUCCGGCUAUCAUCAGUCAUGACAGUCAUACUUCUGUCAUUGUCUCCUUGAUCAGGAAAGGGAAAGGAACUAUGCCAUGGGGACAGAGACAGCUCUUCUCUGGGAGCAGGGCUUUACUGAGCUGUGACGCUCUCCCCAGCCCAGGGGCAGGAGUUGAACGUAUCACUUGAAUCACUUCUAGUUUCUACAUGCAAAAGCAGUCCCUGAAAGCAAUUUCCAGGCGCUGGCUCACAGGAUGCGUGUAAAAGCCUGGUCACGCCUCCCGCGUGGAGGAUGGAGACGAUUACUAAUCACCAGCCACCUCCGAGUGACAGCAGAGGCAGGGGAGACUCGGGGCCCAGCUGUCAGGCGCAAGGACAGAGGUCGGCGCGGGGUCUCCCCGGAGCAGGAGGGAGCAGCGGGUGACAGGUGCAGCCGCGCCAUCCCCAGGCAUCCGGGAACCUGGCCUGGAGGCUGCUGUGGGAUCCGCAGCCCUGCGCGCUGGGGAGGCGCUGCAAUGACCCGGCGGCGGCGCCUUCUCCCAGGUCCCCAAAUAGAAACAGCCCCAGUGCCCUCUCUCCGACCCCACCAGGGCCGCUACCGCGCUCCUCCUUACUCAGACCAGGCUCUACCGACUCCGCAACAGCUGCUCACCCCGCUUGAGAUGCAAAAGGUUCUGAUCCACUAAAGAAAAACGAAAAGACCUUUACACCCCCUUUAGCAAGAAAUCUUCUGCUCCUGCAGGAGGGUCCACCUGAAAACAGAGGGCCCAUAACACUUGUUGGGAAGCACCAAUAGACACCCCAGAGUCUCCUCAUCCCACUUCCUAGCAGCUCCCUGGCACCACUCUUUGAUGAUAGCUUGUUGAAACGGAUGCCUGUUGAAAUGGCAAAGGUGAACAGUGUGACGUGUCAAAAGAAACAUGACUAACAAUAAAGAUAAGCUCACAAAUUAUAUAUUUUUUCCAAAGUGAAUUGGAGCUAGCUAAAAUGUACCCCUCUAUUUUUGUCAUUCUCCUUUGUGUUCAAGAGAGAGAACAGGGAGGAGCUGCUGCUUGUGUGUUGGGAAUUUCAUAGAAUCUUGGGCAUCCCCACGAGAGUGAUCGCUCAUGUAAGUUGCAUCCAUUUUUAUGAAUCAACAAAAAAAAAAAAAAAAGAAAAAGAUUGAAGGCUGCUGGCUUAGCUACCUAAGGACAGCAGUGCGGAGGGACUCAGAGGAAAUGGAAGACGUUGCUCCUGUGUUUGCAAAGCUUGCAAUUUUAUGAUCUUAUUAAAAUAAAGCUUAUAGUUUACAUUUUAUCCAGAUAUAUAGACAGAGGCCAAUGUAUUGGGAGCAUUUCCUCUACCUGUGGGGUGCUGAGUUUAUAGAUUUACAUUAGUUUUUUCCAACGAUCACCCCCUCUUGUAACCUUUCUUCCUCCUGCGUCAUCUCACACACAAGAGCAGUGGCUAUCAUCAAAGUUAUUGAUUUAUGCCUCAAGCAGGCAGGAAGUCGAACAAAGCAGCCUGAGAAAGCAGCAGAGGCAGCUGCUCACCCAGGAGGAUUUGUGGGGAGGAAUCUACUGGCAUAAAACUUAUUUGCCCCCGCUGGCCUCAGAUGAGAACAGUAUCAACGACAAUAAUAAUAGCAGCUAAGGCAUAAUAAAUGCUUACCAUGUGCCAGCCCCAUUCUCUCGUUUCAUUUUCCCACAGCCUUGCUAGGCAGCUUCUGUUAACUCCUCAUUUUCACAGAUUAGGAAACUGAGGCACAGAGGGGUCAGGGAGACUGUUCAUGGCCACCUACUAGUAGGUGAUGCAGCUUGCACUUCAACAGAGGUUUGUCUGACUCUAAAGCUCUAAAGCUCUUGCACUACUGGCUUCACAUCCAGCCUGGCUUCAAACUUUCUUUUGAAUCACUUGUUUUUGGAGCGGGGGCGGUCAGAACAUACAGGAAAACAAAUUAUCUUCAGAAGGUUGGUAGGAAAAAUC
This is a long non-coding RNA of Papio anubis (olive baboon), 2253 nucleotides long. The record is from Ensembl. NCBI's taxonomy places the organism in Eukaryota, Metazoa, Chordata, Mammalia, Primates, Cercopithecidae.